GAUUAAGUUAUUAAGGGCGCACGGUGGAUGCCUUGGCACUAGAAGCCGAUGAAGGACGUUACUAACGACGAUAUGCUUUGGGGAGCUGUAAGUAAGCUUUGAUCCAGAGAUUUCCGAAUGGGGAAACCCAGCAUGAGUUAUGUCAUGUUAUCGAUAUGUGAAUACAUAGCAUAUCAGAAGGCACACCCGGAGAACUGAAACAUCUUAGUACCCGGAGGAAGAGAAAGAAAAUUCGAUUCCCUUAGUAGCGGCGAGCGAAACGGGAAGAGCCCAAACCAACAAGCUUGCUUGUUGGGGUUGUAGGACACUCUAUACGGAGUUACAAAGGACGACAUUAGACGAAUCAUCUGGAAAGAUGAAUCAAAGAAGGUAAUAAUCCUGUAGUCGAAAAUGUUGUCUCUCUUGAGUGGAUCCUGAGUACGACGGAGCACGUGAAAUUCCGUCGGAAUCUGGGAGGACCAUCUCCUAAGGCUAAAUACUCUCUAGUGACCGAUAGUGAACCAGUACCGUGAGGGAAAGGUGAAAAGCACCCCGGAAGGGGAGUGAAAUAGAACCUGAAACCGUGUGCUUACAAGUAGUCAGAGCCCGUUAAUGGGUGAUGGCGUGCCUUUUGUAGAAUGAACCGGCGAGUUACGAUUUGAUGCAAGGUUAAGCAGUAAAUGUGGAGCCGUAGCGAAAGCGAGUCUGAAUAGGGCGUUUAGUAUUUGGUCGUAGACCCGAAACCAGGUGAUCUACCCUUGGUCAGGUUGAAGUUCAGGUAACACUGAAUGGAGGACCGAACCGACUUACGUUGAAAAGUGAGCGGAUGAACUGAGGGUAGCGGAGAAAUUCCAAUCGAACCUGGAGAUAGCUGGUUCUCUCCGAAAUAGCUUUAGGGCUAGCCUCAAGUGAUGAUUAUUGGAGGUAGAGCACUGUUUGGACGAGGGGCCCCUCUCGGGUUACCGAAUUCAGACAAACUCCGAAUGCCAAUUAAUUUAACUUGGGAGUCAGAACAUGGGUGAUAAGGUCCGUGUUCGAAAGGGAAACAGCCCAGACCACCAGCUAAGGUCCCAAAAUAUAUGUUAAGUGGAAAAGGAUGUGGCGUUGCCCAGACAACUAGGAUGUUGGCUUAGAAGCAGCCAUCAUUUAAAGAGUGCGUAAUAGCUCACUAGUCGAGUGACACUGCGCCGAAAAUGUACCGGGGCUAAACAUAUUACCGAAGCUGUGGAUUGUCCUUUGGACAAUGGUAGGAGAGCGUUCUAAGGGCGUUGAAGCAUGAUCGUAAGGACAUGUGGAGCGUUUAGAAGUGAGAAUGCCGGUGUGAGUAGCGAAAGACGGGUGAGAAUCCCGUCCACCGAUUGACUAAGGUUUCCAGAGGAAGGCUCGUCCGCUCUGGGUUAGUCGGGUCCUAAGCUGAGGCCGACAGGCGUAGGCGAUGGAUAACAGGUUGAUAUUCCUGUACCACCUAUAAUCGUUUUAAUCGAUGGGGGGACGCAGUAGGAUAGGCGAAGCGUGCGAUUGGAUUGCACGUCUAAGCAGUAAGGCUGAGUAUUAGGCAAAUCCGGUACUCGUUAAGGCUGAGCUGUGAUGGGGAGAAGACAUUGUGUCUUCGAGUCGUUGAUUUCACACUGCCGAGAAAAGCCUCUAGAUAGAAAAUAGGUGCCCGUACCGCAAACCGACACAGGUAGUCAAGAUGAGAAUUCUAAGGUGAGCGAGCGAACUCUCGUUAAGGAACUCGGCAAAAUGACCCCGUAACUUCGGGAGAAGGGGUGCUCUUUAGGGUUAACGCCCAGAAGAGCCGCAGUGAAUAGGCCCAAGCGACUGUUUAUCAAAAACACAGGUCUCUGCUAAACCGUAAGGUGAUGUAUAGGGGCUGACGCCUGCCCGGUGCUGGAAGGUUAAGAGGAGUGGUUAGCUUCUGCGAAGCUACGAAUCGAAGCCCCAGUAAACGGCGGCCGUAACUAUAACGGUCCUAAGGUAGCGAAAUUCCUUGUCGGGUAAGUUCCGACCCGCACGAAAGGCGUAACGAUUUGGGCACUGUCUCAACGAGAGACUCGGUGAAAUCAUAGUACCUGUGAAGAUGCAGGUUACCCGCGACAGGACGGAAAGACCCCGUGGAGCUUUACUGUAGCCUGAUAUUGAAAUUCGGCACAGCUUGUACAGGAUAGGUAGGAGCCUUUGAAACGUGAGCGCUAGCUUACGUGGAGGCGCUGGUGGGAUACUACCCUAGCUGUGUUGGCUUUCUAACCCGCACCACUUAUCGUGGUGGGAGACAGUGUCAGGCGGGCAGUUUGACUGGGGCGGUCGCCUCCUAAAAGGUAACGGAGGCGCUCAAAGGUUCCCUCAGAAUGGUUGGAAAUCAUUCAUAGAGUGUAAAGGCAUAAGGGAGCUUGACUGCGAGACCUACAAGUCGAGCAGGGUCGAAAGACGGACUUAGUGAUCCGGUGGUUCCGCAUGGAAGGGCCAUCGCUCAACGGAUAAAAGCUACCCCGGGGAUAACAGGCUUAUCUCCCCCAAGAGUUCACAUCGACGGGGAGGUUUGGCACCUCGAUGUCGGCUCAUCGCAUCCUGGGGCUGUAGUCGGUCCCAAGGGUUGGGCUGUUCGCCCAUUAAAGCGGUACGCGAGCUGGGUUCAGAACGUCGUGAGACAGUUCGGUCCCUAUCCGUCGUGGGCGUAGGAAAUUUGAGAGGAGCUGUCCUUAGUACGAGAGGACCGGGAUGGACAUACCUCUGGUGUACCAGUUGUCGUGCCAACGGCAUAGCUGGGUAGCUAUGUGUGGACGGGAUAAGUGCUGAAAGCAUCUAAGCAUGAAGCCCCCCUCAAGAUGAGAUUUCCCAACUUCGGUUAUAAGAUCCCUCAAAGAUGAUGAGGUUAAUAGGUUCGAGGUGGAAGCAUGGUGACAUGUGGAGCUGACGAAUACUAAUCGAUCGAAGACUUAAUCAA
Molecule: ribosomal RNA, 2923 nt
Filed under: Staphylococcus aureus
Lineage: Bacteria; Bacillati; Bacillota; Bacilli; Caryophanales; Staphylococcaceae
Description: 23S ribosomal RNA
Rfam family: Bacterial large subunit ribosomal RNA
Source: RNAcentral